GCAGCCUGCAACUCGGCUGCACGAAGCCGGAAUCGCUAGUAAUCGCAGAUCAGCAUGCUGCGGUGAAUACGUUCCCGGGUCUUGUACGCACCGCCCGUCACACCAUGGGAGCCGGGAAUGCCCGAAGUCAGCGGCCCAACCGAAAGGAGGGAGCUGCCGAAGGCAGGCCUGGUGACUGGGGUGAAGUCGUAACAAGGUACC
This 201-nucleotide ribosomal RNA is filed under the name uncultured bacterium. Its description in RNAcentral is "partial 16S ribosomal RNA". It matches the Rfam family "Bacterial small subunit ribosomal RNA", at positions 1300 to 1500 of the family's 1533-position model. The record is from RNAcentral.